ACUCAAAUGAAUUGACGGGGGCCCGCACAAGCGGUGGAGCAUGUGGUUUAAUUCGACGCAACGCGAAGAACCUUACCAAGGCUUGACAUCCAUAGAAUCCCGUGGAAACAUGGGAGUGCCCUUCGGGGAGCUAUGAGACAGGUGGUGCAUGGUUGUCGUCAGCUCGUGUCGUGAGAUGUUGGGUUAAGUCCCGCAACGAGCGCAACCCCUAUCUUUAGUUGCUAACGAGUAGUGUCGAGCACUCUAGAGAGACUGCCGGUGAUAAACCGGAGGAAGGUGGGGAUGACGUCAAAUCAUCAUGCCCCUUAUGUUUUGGGCUACACACGUGCUACAAUGGCCGGUACAGACGGUUGCGAAGCCGCGAGGUGGAGCUAAUCUGAGAAAGCCGGUCUCAGUUCGGAUUGUAGGCUGCAACUCGCCUACAUGAAGUCGGAAUCGCUAGUAAUCGCAGGUCAGCAUACUGCGGUGAAUACGUUCCCGGGCCUUGUACACACCGCCCGU
This 501-nucleotide ribosomal RNA is filed under the name uncultured bacterium. RNAcentral's name for it is "partial 16S ribosomal RNA". It matches the Rfam family "Bacterial small subunit ribosomal RNA", at positions 899 to 1397 of the family's 1533-position model. The record is from RNAcentral.